Long non-coding RNA from Salvia hispanica, 1248 nucleotides. RefSeq lists it as uncharacterized. NCBI's taxonomy places the organism in Eukaryota, Viridiplantae, Streptophyta, Magnoliopsida, Lamiales, Lamiaceae. The record is from RefSeq and is a predicted model, not a curated record.
AAAAAAAAAACAAAUGAAAAGAAUACAUUCAUGAGUUUUGAUUUUGAAGAGUGGUGUUAAUCUUUCUUACAUUUGACUCUCGCCGAUUUGUUCCAAUACCAAUUUCGGCAGGCCUGGAUAAUCAUAUGGAUGAUGUAUCUUGUUCAUCAAGAUUCAGCUCCUAUACUUUCCUCAUCAAGGAAAAAACUGUCUGAAUUGCAUUUGCUCAUUCUGUUAUCCAGUGUAAUGAAGAAGAAUGGGAGGUCUUUUUUUCUUCAAAUGCUUCACUUUGUGUAUAGGCCCCAGCCGGAAAAUCCAGUACUUCGCUAAUGAAACUUUGUCACUUAAAUGCGUUGAACUCAAGUUCUAUGUUUUCAUUGGCUUUUCAUUUACCUGAAAUCUCAUGUGGAAUUUAUGUUUGAAAAGUAAUCUUACUAGGCAGCGGAGGUCCCUUGGUUCUAUGUUUUCAUUGGCUUUUUCACGUUUCAUUUGAUAUAGUUUGACACAGACAACUCCUUCAGGCUUUUAGGUUAACAUAUCCAAUGUUUUACGAGGUAUUGGCUGAUGUUUUUUUAAAUGAAAACACACACACAUAUAUAUAGGUAUGUACUUUUUCCUCUGAUUAUUUUGGCCUCAGUUUGCUGUAUAUUUUCGCCAUGUAAUUGAGGCAUGCCUGAAACAGAUCCUUUGAUGUGUCAAAUACAAAUGUGGAGCAAUCGUUUCCAUGUAUCCAGUUUAAUGAUCUGCUUCCUGAUCCUGAAUACUCAUCUUCAUCGUUGUUAGUUUGAGAUUUCCUCUAACAGAAAAAGAUGUGAUAUACUUCAUUUGCGACUAUUUGUCACUAAAAGAUUGUGGGAGAUAUCAUUAAAUUAUUUGUGUGACCAGUUUGCUCUUUUUUGUUAUUUAGCAUUAUUGAAAAUGACCUGAAGAACUAAGCAGUGAAUUUGAGAGAAUUGCUACCCCCACAUCUCAGUUUCAUGAGUGAGUUAUUCCUUUGAAGAAUAACCAAAGCUUAAUUUCUUGUAACUGCAUAACAUAUUCGAUUGUUUCAGCAUGUAAUUAUUCUGAAUCACUGAUGCCCUGAAGAUCAGAGAAGGCCGGCCAAAUUACAUCCACUUUUGUUGCUUAUUUUGAUGGUGUUUUUUAUAGGAACUGGAUUUCUAUGAAAGUAGUAUUUGGAGCAUUGACUGAUUACUUUUUACUGUACAUUGACAUGGAGGGGUCUCAGUUGAGAUCCAUUGCAUAUUUUCCUUUUCAUUCAGCUUGCUA